Molecule: ribosomal RNA, 440 nt
Filed under: uncultured bacterium
Lineage: Bacteria
Description: partial 16S ribosomal RNA
Rfam family: Bacterial small subunit ribosomal RNA
Source: RNAcentral
CCUACGGGAGGCAGCAGUGGGGGAUAUUGCACAAUGGGGGGAACCCUGAUGCAGCGACGCCGCGUGGGUGAAGAAGCGCCUCGGCGCGUAAAGCCCUGUCAGCAGGGAAGAAAAUGACGGUACCUGAAGAAGAAGCCCCGGCUAACUACGUGCCAGCAGCCGCGGUAAUACGUAGGGGGCAAGCGUUAUCCGGAUUUACUGGGUGUAAAGGGGGCGCAGACGGCGAUGCAAGCCAGGAGUGAAAGCCCGGGGCCCAACCCCGGGACUGCUCUUGGGACUGCGUGGCUGGAGUGCAGUAGGGGCAGGCGGAAUUCCUGGUGUAGCGGUGGAAUGCGUAGAUAUCAGGAGGAACACCGGUGGCGAAGGCGGCCUGCUGGACUGCAACUGACGUUGAGGCCCGAAAGCGUGGGGAGCAAACAGGAUUAGAUACCCUUGUAGUC